This is a long non-coding RNA of Oncorhynchus tshawytscha (Chinook salmon), 1568 nucleotides long. RefSeq lists it as uncharacterized. The transcript has 2 exons. The record is from RefSeq and is a predicted model, not a curated record. NCBI's taxonomy places the organism in Eukaryota, Metazoa, Chordata, Actinopteri, Salmoniformes, Salmonidae.
CUCAACUAGCCUACCAGGUUAAAUAAAGGUGAAAUAAAUCUAAUUUAAAAAAUAUAUUUAAAAAAAAUAAAGCUAGAAAUGUAGUACAGCAAUGGUAACGUCUUAUUAUCAUAAAUCAUUUAAAUAUACCGCCUUAAAACUGUCAUCACAUACACCUAUGCUUUGCUUUGGCUUUGUUUACAAACCUUAAACCAGCUACAGUAGCUCAAGCAGGACAUACGACCGAAGAUACUGGUAACCUUUCAUCUGUGGCGUGACAGUUAGCUAGCAAGCUACUUACCAGAACGCCGGAAAAAGCACACUGUCUUGUGACUGCAUGCCAUAAUGUAAAAUGAACCCUACACUAUUUUCCUAUGAAUCUGACAGCAGUGGCUGCUUUUCAUUUUGGGUGGACAGGCUGCAUCGAAAUUACGAUCAUGUCACGCGUGAGCAGUGCACAUUUCGAGUGAAGUUGCUUUAUCAAAUUGGGGAGAACAUUCAAUGGGUCUUGCCAGGAAGCUAAUCCUGAAGACGGAUGCUCAACCAUAAUUGACAGUGGAUCUAGCAAGCGCUGACCAUAAUUAAUGUAUCAGUUUGAUGAGUCUGACACGGUAGACAACAUUUUUUAGGGGAUCGUGGGGCUAACGUUAGAUAACUCAACUGUGGCUGCUUUGACUCGUGAACGGUAUAUUUUCUGUAACACACCUGAUAGUCACUAUAUGGUUGUUGUUCUACCAGCCCUUAGCCCCCUACAUCGAGUCUGAGAACUAGCCAGCACACAGCUGGUACGAAGGAAUGUUGUCCACAAAAGGAGUUGCGAUGUGUAUAGUUUUUGUAAUUGACCCUUAAAUGAUAUUUUGCCAUUCUAAUGUAUGGGUUGUUGUCUUACAGUGGAUGUAGCUUGUGUCAUGAUGAGUAGGAGGAGGAAAAUAAUAAUACCAUCCAUCUCCUUUUGUCUUUCCACUACUCUGUCUGCAUAGCUUCCCAGGCAACCGCCACAGCAGGAAUGCUGUGAUACAUAAUCAGCUUUCCCAAGAACAUUACUUUAUGUAGAUGGGCUCCUGGAUCUCUUUUUAACAAGGUCACCCUUGAUCCAGCGCCAGAGGUGGGGAAGCUGUGCGAGCUGUCCAUCCCAGGACCCCUGUUUGUCCAGUGUGAGAGGUCUGGCAAGGAGGCCGUAACUGGAUUGGUCUCCCGCCUCAAUCUUGGGGGCGACUGAAGCCAAGUGGGUGACUGAAGCUUGCAUGAUUGAAGCGUGGUACAUGGAUCCUCCUCUCCUCCCCAUCAAUCUCUGUAGUUGGUUGCAUUUCCUAAAGCCUAAGUAAAUCACUUUUAUGUGAUAUAUCAGAUUUUGUUACUUUGUAUGUAUAUUUUUUCAAGCAUUCAGACGGGACAUGAGUGUCACAAAUUGUACGAGUCAAUGGAUCCUGCACACUGUAGGGUGACCGGAUGCCUAUAUUAGGCCUAUGGUUCUUUUCUUUCUGUCAAAUGAUGUCUCACCAUUAUUUCUCAUCUGUUCAUGUAGAUCAAUAUUUCAGCUAUUCUGACCUACUGCAAAUGAUCAAAUAAAUGUCUGAUCAAUACAUACA